CUAUGCCCAUAAAAUUUCAGAUUUUUAAUUAAUAAUUAAAUCACCUUAAGUACCUAUUAUUUAAUUUAUUUAUUUUUUUCGGGUCGUUACAUAAAUAUUUGCAUAUGAGGGACAAUAGGAAACACUCUCUCAUAAUGAAAUUCGAACCAUGCAUACAUAAUUCAUAAUUUUGUCCUUAUUAUUUUGGCACCAACUUAAAAAAACAAUAAGACUAGGAUUACUAUGCAUAGGACUUUCUUAACUCAUAACAUAGGCUAGAGCAAAGGUAGGAUACAUUUGGGAGCAAUGACUACGCCCUCCUUGUUACCCUUUUUACCUUGUUUUCCUUUCUUUUGUUAGACAAUCUUUUCUCUUCCUUUGAGUCGUUAAAUGUGACUCCCCUUCCUUUCUCUCUUUUCAUUCACUAUUCCCUUUUUUCAAUUUGAAGGUAAAUACAUUCAAACUAUCUUAAUACACCAUAUCCACAUGUGUUGAUCAUUUCUAACCUAUAUUUUUCAUACCCCAUUGUACUUUUCUUAUAUACUCAUGAAAGCCACCCUCAAUUUAGGCAUUUUCCUGAGUGAGAUACAUGAUGUCUAAGGAGGGACAGGGUCAAAGAAAGACGCAAGUAACCAGGAUCAUCACGCAAGCACCGUUGAUUCAGUUGAGAGCUCCAGAGUUAGUUGGUGAGUCUCCUUGCAUCCCCGAGGACAUCCUUUUAUUGCUUUUCUAGUUUAGACCAUUAGGAUGUUGUGGGGUAUGUCCCAGGAUCCAUCUCAAUCAGUUUAAAGGUUUCAUAGACAAUGUAGUAGUUUAGUUUUGGUGUCUCCUUCAUUUUAUAUUUUGUAUGUUACAGUAUUGAGACUUAAUUGUCUUUUGAUCAAUACAAGUUAUUGAGUUAUCUUAUGAGAAUGCCUUUAAUUCUUUAUCUGAGUUUAGCAUAGUCUUCCGUUGGGUUAAGUAAGUUAGGACAAGGUUCGCUCAAGGCCAGCAAUGGUCGUUGAGUGCCGCCCUCGUCUAGGGUGUAGGAUCCGGGGGUGACAAUAAAUGUAAGCCAUGAAUAACACUUGAUUGUAUGAUUAUGAGAAUAUACUUUGUUAUUGUAAUUGUGGCUUCUUAGUGUUACGUUUCAACACACUAACUGAGAUAUUGAAUGUCACGUAGUAGCAUACAUAUUGAAUCGGGUGUCAUGAUUCGGCACACUAACUUGAAUCGGAUACCACGUUCUGGUGCACUAACAGUUUGGGUAUGGUUCCCAUGAGAGGACCACUAAUUUGUCAUAUAUGCAUAUUUAUGUGAUAUUGGGAAUGUGGAAUUGUACAUUGCAUUUGAAAUUGUUUGAUUGAAUCGUGACUUUGUAUAAUCAGACUAAUGUGGCGUGUUUGUUUGAUGGAUAUCUAGUUAUUAAAUGAACAAUGAAUGGCCAGGAUGAAAACAGAAUAGGAUAUUGUAAGUGAAGAUCAAGGAUCCAGGUGUUACUAUGUGUUGCUUUGAGAGGUGAUCUGUAUUAGUGACUACUAAGUACAUGGAAUGAUGAUAGGUUGUAACUUCUAAGCAGGGUCCUCUCGACCAUAAGGCCACUAAAAUAAUCGCUUGGGGCCUCAAUUUUUUUAGGCCCCCAUUUUCUCUCAAGAAUGUGUGUGUGUGUGUGUGUGUGUGUGUGUGUAUUGUUAAAAAAAUCAUGUAAUGAUAAAUUUGAAAAGAAUUUUUUGUAUAGAAAAUAUAAUUGAGAAAAUUAAAUAUUGUUUUGUUGAUUGUAGUGUCUUUUCUAAA
Molecule: long non-coding RNA, 1752 nt
Organism: Solanum lycopersicum (tomato)
Lineage: Eukaryota; Viridiplantae; Streptophyta; Magnoliopsida; Solanales; Solanaceae
Source: RefSeq, a predicted model, not a curated record